AGAACGAACGCUGGCGGCAUGCCUAACACAUGCAAGUCGAACGCCUGUAGCAAUACAGGAGUGGCGCACGGGUGAGUAACGCGUGGGAACCUACCCUGGAGUGGGGGAUAACCGAGAGAAAUUUCGGCUAAUACCGCAUACGACCUGAGGGUGAAAGAUUUAUCGCUCUAGGAGGGGCCCGCGUCGGAUUAGCUAGUUGGUGGGGUAACGGCCUACCAAGGCAACGAUCCGUAGCUGGUCUGAGAGGAUGAUCAGCCACACUGGGACUGAGACACGGCCCAGACUCCUACGGGAGGCAGCAGUGGGGAAUAUUGGACAAUGGGGGCAACCCUGAUCCAGCAAUGCCGCGUGAGUGAUGAAGGCCUUAGGGUUGUAAAGCUCUUUCGGCGGGACGAUGAUGACGGUACCCGCAGAAGAAGCCCCGGCUAACUUCGCGCCAGCAGCCGC
RNAcentral lists this ribosomal RNA (447 nucleotides) under uncultured bacterium. RNAcentral's name for it is "SSU rRNA". It matches the Rfam family "Bacterial small subunit ribosomal RNA", at positions 26 to 518 of the family's 1533-position model. The record is from RNAcentral.